RNAcentral lists this ribosomal RNA (1346 nucleotides) under uncultured bacterium. RNAcentral describes it as "partial 16S ribosomal RNA". It matches the Rfam family "Bacterial small subunit ribosomal RNA", at positions 28 to 1381 of the family's 1533-position model. The record is from RNAcentral.
GACGAACGCUGGCGGCGUGCUUAAUACAUGCAAGUCGAACGGAAAGGCCCUGCUUUUGUGGGGUGCUCGAGUGGCGAACGGGUGAGUAACACGUGAGUAACCUGCCCUUGACUUUGGGAUAACUUCAGGAAACUGGGGCUAAUACCGGAUAGGAGCUCCUGCUGCAUGGUGGGGGUUGGAAAGUUUCGGCGGUUGGGGAUGGACUCGCGGCUUAUCAGCUUGUUGGUGGGGUAGUGGCUUACCAAGGCUUUGACGGGUAGCCGGCCUGAGAGGGUGACCGGCCACAUUGGGACUGAGAUACGGCCCAGACUCCUACGGGAGGCAGCAGUGGGGAAUAUUGCACAAUGGGCGGAAGCCUGAUGCAGCAACGCCGCGUGCGGGAUGACGGCCUUCGGGUUGUAAACCGCUUUCGCCUGUGACGAAGCGUGAGUGACGGUAAUGGGUAAAGAAGCACCGGCUAACUACGUGCCAGCAGCCGCGGUGAUACGUAGGGUGCGAGCGUUGUCCGGAUUUAUUGGGCGUAAAGGGCUCGUAGGUGGUUGAUCGCGUCGGAAGUGUAAUCUUGGGGCUUAACCCUGAGCGUGCUUUCGAUACGGGUUGACUUGAGGAAGGUAGGGGAGAAUGGAAUUCCUGGUGGAGCGGUGGAAUGCGCAGAUAUCAGGAGGAACACCAGUGGCGAAGGCGGUUCUCUGGGCCUUUCCUGACGCUGAGGAGCGAAAGCGUGGGGAGCGAACAGGCUUAGAUACCCUGGUAGUCCACGCUGUAAACGGUGGGUACUAGGUGUGGGGUCCAUUCCACGGGUUCCGUGCCGUAGCUAACGCUUUAAGUACCCCGCCUGGGGAGUACGGCCGCAAGGCUAAAACUCAAAGGAAUUGACGGGGCCCCGCACAAGCGGCGGAGCAUGCGGAUUAAUUCGAUGCAACGCGUAGAACCUUACCUGGGUUUGACAUGGAUCGGGAGUGCUCAGAGAUGGGUGUGCCUCUUUUGGGGUCGGUUCACAGGUGGUGCAUGGCUGUCGUCAGCUCGUGUCGUGAGAUGUUGGGUUAAGUCCCGCAACGAGCGCAACCCUUGUUCACUGUUGCCAGCACGUUAUGGUGGGGACUCAGUGGAGACCGCCGGGGUCAACUCGGGGGAAGGUGGGGAUGACGUCAAGUCAUCAUGCCCCUUAUGUCCAGGGCUUCACGCAUGCUACAAUGGCUGGUACAGAGAGUGGCGAGCCUGUGAGGGUGAGCGAAUCUCGGAAAGCCGGUCUCAGUUCGGAUUGGGGUCUGCAACUCGACCUCAUGAAGUCGGAGUCGCUAGUAAUCGCAGAUCAGCAACGCUGCGGUGAAUACGUUCCCGGGGCU